GAUGAACGCUAGCGGGAGGCCUAACACAUGCAAGCCGAGCGGUACUUGUCUUUCGGGACAGAGAGAGCGGCGUACGGGUGCGGAACACGUGUGCAACCUGCCUUUAUCUGGGGGAUAGCCUUUCGAAAGGAAGAUUAAUACCCCAUAAUAUAAUGAAUGGCAUCAUUUAUUAUUGAAAACUCCGGUGGAUAGAGAUGGGCACGCGCAAGAUUAGAUAGUUGGUGAGGUAACGGCUCACCAAGUCGAUGAUCUUUAGGGGGCCUGAGAGGGUGAUCCCCCACACUGGUACUGAGACACGGACCAGACUCCUACGGGAGGCAGCAGUGAGGAAUAUUGGACAAUGGGUUAGCGCCUGAUCCAGCCAUCCCGCGUGAAGGACGACGGCCCUAUGGGUUGUAAACUUCUUUUGUACAGGGAUAAACCUACUCUCGUGAGAGUAGCUGAAGGUACUGUACGAAUAAGCACCGGCUAACUCCGUGCCAGCCGCCGCGGUAA
Molecule: ribosomal RNA, 495 nt
Filed under: uncultured bacterium
Lineage: Bacteria
Description: partial 16S ribosomal RNA
Rfam family: Bacterial small subunit ribosomal RNA
Source: RNAcentral